AAAUCAACCGAAACUCAGAGUCAACUAUUUACAUUGACAACCCACACCACAAUGAUUAAAAUCAAUUAAAACUCAGAGUGAACUUCACUACUACUGAUCUGCAGGAGGGGGAGAAACAAGAUGAUGAUGAUGACGACUAUGGAGCAAUGAAGAGGGCUUAUAAACAUUACACACAAACUUGUAAAAUAAAAGGAAUUACCAUACGGUUUCAACACUCCAUGUGGCUGUUCAAGCUUUCUCUCCUCAAAUGGGUUAUGUAUUCUUCCUUUACCAUUCGCUGUGUUUUUUGUAUCAUUUUAGUUUUUUUUUUUUUUCAUUCUUCAAAACGGGGUGUUUGGAUUGAAUUACAGAGGUUGCUAAGGAAGGAUUUGAUGGGAAUGAAGCUGAAAAUUGGGUUGUAUAAGUCCUUGACAUGCCCAAGGAAAGUGCACAUAAAGUGUUUGUAAAAAUGCACAAGAGAGAACAAGAGGUGAGCAUGAGCAGUAGGGAAGUCAACAUGAGUUUUCACAGGUUUAUCUCCAUGGAAUUGUUAAAGUUUUCUCUUUGAGAUUCCUUUGCUUACUCUGUUUGGAGGUUUAUCAACCCGUAAUUGUGUGUGUGUGAGAGAGAGAGAGUGUGUGUGUGUGUGAACUUUUACCUAAGGUCUUGAGACAAUAAUUGUUAAUAGUUAGCUCUUUAAACGUAUUCAAAAUCAAUCAGAUGCACAUGUACUGCGUACAAAAAUUGCAACAACAAUAGCAGAGGGUACUAGAAGCAAUACAAAAACAGCAUAUCACAACAAGUAGAAAAAUAGUUUAUUCCUUUCUCACUAAAGGUAAUAGCAAUGAAGUAGAACCAUUAUCAGUGGUGCCCAACUCAUUUCACCAAAUGUUUUGGUACGACUAGGGUAAGAAGUUGUUCUUUUGGAAAAUAGAAGUUUCCCUUGUGUUCAUUGUUAAUUCAAUAUGUGAUUUUGACUUGGAUUUGUUUUUUC
RNAcentral lists this long non-coding RNA (973 nucleotides) under Lactuca sativa (garden lettuce). Its description in RNAcentral is "long non-coding RNA (LSAT_LNC008578)". Lineage: Eukaryota; Viridiplantae; Streptophyta; Magnoliopsida; Asterales; Asteraceae. The record is from RNAcentral.